CAGGACGAACGCUGGCGGCGUGCCUAAUACAUGCAAGUCGAACGGUCUUUCUAUGGAAGCUUGCUUCCACUGAGAAGAUAGUGGCGAACGGGUGAGUAACACGUGGGUAACCUGCCCAUAAGAGGGGGGAUAACAUCCGGAAACGGGUGCUAAUACCGCAUAGUUUUCUUGGUCGCAUGAUCGGGAAAGGAAAGACGGCCUUUGUGCUGUCGCUUAUGGAUGGACCCGCGGCGUAUUAGUUAGUUGGUGAGGUAACGGCUCACCAAGACGAUGAUACGUAGCCGACCUGAGAGGGUGAUCGGCCACAUUGGGACUGAGACACGGCCCAAACUCCUACGGGAGGCAGCAGUAGGGAAUCUUCCGCAAUGGACGAAAGUCUGACGGAGCAACGCCGCGUGAGUGAAAGAAGGUUUUCGGAUCGUAAAACUCUGUUGUCAGAGAAGAACAAGUUGGAGAGUAACUGCUCCAGCCUUGACGGUAUCUGACCAGAAAGCCACGGCUAACUACGUGCCAGCCGCCGC
RNAcentral lists this ribosomal RNA (521 nucleotides) under uncultured bacterium. RNAcentral's name for it is "bacterial SSU rRNA". It matches the Rfam family "Bacterial small subunit ribosomal RNA", at positions 25 to 518 of the family's 1533-position model. The record is from RNAcentral.